GCAUAUCAAUAAGCGGAGGAAAAGAAACCAACAGGGAUUGCCCCAGUAGCGGCGAGUGAAGCGGCAAGAGCUCAGAUUUGAAAUCGUGUUUCGGCACGAGUUGUAGAGUGUAGGCGGGAGUCUCUGUGGAGCGCGGUGUCCAAGUCCCUUGGAACAGGGUGCCUGAGAGGGUGAGAGCCCCGUAGGGUGCUGCGCGAAGCUUUUGAGGCCCUGCUGACGAGUCGAGUUGUUUGGGAAUGCAGCUCCAAGCGGGUGGUAAAUUCCAUCUAAGGCUAAAUAUUGGCGAGAGACCGAUAGCGAACAAGUACUGUGAAGGAAAGAUGAAAAGCACUUUGAAAAGAGAGUGAGACAGCACGUGAAAUUGUUGAAAGGGAAGGGUAUUGGGCUCGACAUGGGGGGUGCGCACCGCUGUCUCUUGUAGGCGGCGCUCUGGGCGCCCUCUGGGCCAGCAUCGGUUCCUGCUGCGGGAGAAGGGGCUCCGGAAAGUGGCUCUUCGGAGUGUUAUAGCCGGGGCCAGAUGCCGCGUGUGGGGACCGAGGACUGCGGCUUCUGUCUCGGAUGCUGGCAUAACGGCGCAAUACCGCCCGUCUU
This 591-nucleotide ribosomal RNA is filed under the name Pichia manshurica. Its description in RNAcentral is "eukaryotic LSU rRNA". It matches the Rfam family "Eukaryotic large subunit ribosomal RNA", at positions 38 to 655 of the family's 3401-position model. The record is from RNAcentral. Lineage: Eukaryota; Fungi; Ascomycota; Pichiomycetes; Pichiales; Pichiaceae.